This 301-nucleotide ribosomal RNA is filed under the name uncultured bacterium. RNAcentral describes it as "partial 16S ribosomal RNA". It matches the Rfam family "Bacterial small subunit ribosomal RNA", at positions 509 to 807 of the family's 1533-position model. The record is from RNAcentral.
CAGUAGCCACGGUAAUACAGAGGGUGCAAGCGUUAAUCGGAAUUACUGGGCGUAAAGCGCGCGUAGGUGGUUCGCCAAGUUGGAUGUGAAAUCCCCGGGCUCAACCUGGGAACUGCAUCCAAAACUGGCGAGCCAGAGUAUGGUAGAGGGUGGUGGAAUUUCCUGUGUAGCGGUGAAAUGCGUAGAUAUAGGAAGGAACAUCAGUGGCGAAGGCGACCACCUGGACUGAUACUGACACUGAGGUGCGAAAGCGUGGGGAGCAAACAGGAUUAGAUACCCCUGUAGUCCCUGUCUCUUAUAC